RNAcentral lists this ribosomal RNA (497 nucleotides) under uncultured bacterium. RNAcentral's name for it is "partial 16S ribosomal RNA". It matches the Rfam family "Bacterial small subunit ribosomal RNA", at positions 28 to 507 of the family's 1533-position model. The record is from RNAcentral.
GAUGAACGCUGGCGGCGUGCCUAAUACAUGCAAGUCGAGCGCACGGACGAUAAGCUUGCUUCUCUGGUGUUAGCGGCGGACGGGUGCGUAACACGUGGAUAACCUACCUAUAAGACUGGGAUAACUUCGGGAAACCGGUGCUAAUACCGGAUAAUAUUUUGAACCGCAUGGUUCAAAAGUGAAAGACGGUCUUGCUGUCACUUAUAGAUGGAUCCGCGCUGCAUUAGCUAGUUGGUAAGGUAACGGCUUACCAAGGCAACGAUGCAUAGCCGACCUGAGAGGGUGAUCGGCCACACUGGAACUGAGACACGGUCCAGACUCCUACGGGAGGCAGCAGUAGGGAAUCUUCCGCAAUGGGCGAAAGCCUGACGGAGCAACGCCGCGUGAGUGAUGAAGGUCUUCGGAUCGUAAAACUCUGUUAUUAGGGAAGAACAUAUGUGUAAGUAACUGUGCGCAUCUUGACGGUACCUAAUCAGAAAGCCACGGCUAACUACGUG